Molecule: long non-coding RNA, 5879 nt
Filed under: Oncorhynchus mykiss (rainbow trout)
Lineage: Eukaryota; Metazoa; Chordata; Actinopteri; Salmoniformes; Salmonidae
Description: lncRNA (ENSOMYG00000062152.1)
Source: RNAcentral
AAUGACUGGUUUCACGUGUCCAUCCAUGUCUGAAUCAGCUGUUACUGUCCUUGUUGCAGUUUCUGUCCAUGGUGGUCUGAUAUCUCAAAGCUGAUCAAGUUCCUGGUGGGUCUCCUGUCUCAAGCAGUAGAGUGGGAGGAGCAGUCAGGAGAGAAGACACUGAAGCUGGUAUCAUCAGUGUGUACUUACAGAACCUUCCCUUUCUGUGACGGGGAUGAUGAGGAUGAGUGGUUUCAAUGUGAUCUCCUGCUGGAUCUGUACUCACAUGUGGAGGACUAUGAGACUAAAACAGGCAGGAGUGUCCUUCCAUCAUUGAGACCACUUUAUCAGUCAGCUCCUGCAGUCUGGUCCAUAGACCUCUCAGAGAGAAAGGCCUCCCUCCUCCUAGAAGUGCUGAAACUCCAACCAGAGAAGAAACCAGUACAGCUGAAAGGCUGGUCAGAUGAAGAGAGUGAAGUGAGGAGUUUCCUUCAGUGUCUGCCUUACAUCUCACAGCUGAGGUGAGUUGGAUCAGUACAGCUCAGGUGAGUUGGAUCAGUACAGCUCAGGUGAGUUGGAUCAGUACAGCUCAGGUGAGUUGGAUCAGUACAGCUCAGGUGAGUUGGAUCAGUACAGCUCAGGUGAGUUGGAUCAGUACAGCUCAGGUGAGUUGGAUCAGUACAGCUCAGGUGAGUUGGAUCAGUACAGCUCAGGGAUUGUUGUCUGUCCCUGUAUUUCACUUUUAAAAAGGAAGUUUGUUCGUAACAACCGAAUAUGCUAAACAUACACAUACUGUUUUGGAAAGAUACAAUCUUACUUUGUGGUGAUGAUUAUAAGGAACAGUUGAAGUGGAUGAUGAGUUUAGAAAGAUACAGUCUUACUUUGUGGUGAUGAUUAUAAGGAACAGUUGAAGUGGAUGAUGAGUUUAGAAAGAUAGUCAUGUUAUUUGACCUGCUAUAAUGUGACCAUCUGAAAUGCAGAUUAUAUCUCACAUAUUCAUCUAUUUGUUGUUAAACUGUUCAUGCAGUUUUACUCCACCACAGUAUCAGAGAAGAUCCCCUGAAGAGUGGAGAAAGAGAGAGAAGACAUUCCUACUGAAUCUGUGUCUUCAAGCAGCCCUCCAUGAGAGAGAAACCAUACAAACAACUGUAGGGAAAGUGUUGUCACUGUCUGAAGUUUAUCAGGGUCGGAAAUGGGAUCUCCUGCUGGAUCUGUACUCUCACGUGAAGGACUAUGAGACUAAAACAGGCAGGAGUGUCCUUCCAGCAUUACAGCCAGUUUACCAGUCAGCUCCUGCAGUCUGGUCCAUAGACCUCUCAGAGAGAAAGGCUUCCCUCCUCCUUGAAGUGCUGAAACUCCAACCAGAGAAGAAAUCAGUAGAGCUGUGGGACUGGUCAGAUGAAGAGAGUGAAGUGAGGAGUUUCCUUCAGUGUCUGCCCUACAUCUCACAGCUGAGUUUUACUCCACCACAGUAUCAGAGAAGAUCCCCUGAAGAGUGGAGAAAGAGAGAGAAGACAUUCCUACUGAAUCUGUGUCUUCAAGCAGCCCUCCAUGAGAGAGAAACCAUACAAACAACUGUAGGGAAAGUGUUGUCACUGUCUGAAGUUUAUCAGGGUCGGAAAUGGGAUCUCCUGCUGGAUCUGUACUCUCACGUGAAGGACUAUGAGACUAAAACAGGCAGGAGUGUCCUUCCAGCAUUACAGCCACUUUACCAGCCAGCUCCUGCAGUCUGGUUCAUAGAUCUCAGAAAGAGAAACGUCUCCCUCCUCCUAGAAGUGCUGAAACUCCAACCAGAGAAGAAAUCAGUAGAGCUGUGGGACUGGUCAGAUGAAGAGAGUGAAGUGAGGAGUUUCCUUCAGUGUCUGCCCUACAUCUCACAGCUGAGUUUCUGUCCAUGGUGGUCUGAUAUCUCAAAGCUGAUCAAGUUCCUGGUGGGUCUCCUGUCUCAAGCAGCAGAGUGGGAGGAGCAGUCAGGAGAGAAGACACUGAAGCUGGUGUCAUCAGUGUGUACUUACAGAACCUUCCCUUUCUGUGACAGGGAUGAUGAGGAUAAGUGGUUUCAAUGUGAUCUCCUGCUGGAUCUGUACUCACAUGUGGAGGACUAUGAGACUAAAACAGGCAGGAGUGUCCUUCCAUCAUUGAGACCACUUUACCAGUCAGCUCCUGCAGUCUGGUCCAUAGACCUCUCAGAGAGAAAGGCCUCCCUCCUCCUAGAAGUGCUGAAACUCCAACCAGAGAAGAAACCAGUACAGCUGAAAGGCUGGUCAGAUGAAGAGAGUGAAGUGAGGAGUUUCCUUCAGUGUCUGCCUUACAUCUCACAGCUGAGUUUUACUCCACCACAGUAUCAGAGAAGAUCCCCUGAAGAGUGGAGAAAGAGAGAGAAGACAUUCCUACUGAAUCUGUGUCUUCAAGCAGCCCUCCAUGAGAGAGAAACCAUACAAACAACUGUAGGGAAAGUGUUGUCACUGUCUGAAGUUUAUCACAAUCAGAAAUGGGAGCUCCUGCUGGAUCUGUAUUCUCAUGUGAAGGACUAUGAGACUCAAACAGGCAGGAGUGUCCUUCCAGCAUUACAGCCAGUUUACCAGUCAGCUCCUGCAGUCUGGUCCAUAGACCUCAGAAAGAGAAUGGUCUCCCUCCUCCUAGAAGUGCUGAAACUCCAACCAGAGAAGAAACCAGUACAGCUGAAAGGCUGGUCAGAUGAAGAGAGUGAAGUGAGGAGUUUCCUUCAGUGUCUGCCCUACAUCUCACAGCUGAGUUUCUGUCCAUGGUGGUCUGAUCCCUCAAAGCUGAUCAAGUUCCUGGUGGGUCUCCUGUCUCAAGCAGCAGAGUGGGAGGAGCAGUCAGGAGAGAAGACACUGAAGCUGGUGUCAUCAGUGUGUACUUACAGAACCUUCCCUUUCUGUGACGAGGUUUAUUUUGAUGAGUCGUUUCAAUGGGAUCUCCUGCUGGAUCUGUAUUCACAUGUGAAGGACUAUGAGACUCAAACAGGCAGGAGUGUCCUUCCAGCAUUACAGCCAGUUUACCAGCCAGCUCCUGCAGUCUGGUUCAUAGAUCUCUCAGAGAGAAAGGUCUCCCUCCUCCUAGAAGUGCUGAAACUCCAACCAGAGAAGAAAUCAGUAGAGCUGAAAGGCUGGUCAGAUGAAGAGAGUGAAGUGAGGAGUUUCCUUCAGUGUCUGCCCUACAUCUCACAGCUGAGGUUUGCUCCACCACAGGAUCAGAUAGGAUCCCCUGAAGAGUGGAGAAAGAGAGAGAAGACAUUCCUACUGAAUCUGUGUCUUCAAGCAGCCCUCCAUGAGAGAGAAACCAUACAAACAACUGUAGAGAAAGUGUUGUCACUGUCUGAAGUUUAUCAGGGUCGGAAAUGGGAUCUCCUACUGGAUCUGUACUCUCAUGUGAAGGACUAUGAGACUCAAACAGGCAGGAGUGUCCUUCCAGCAUUACAGACAGUUUACCAGUCAGCUCCUGCAGUCUGGUCCAUAGACCUCAGAGAGAGAAAGGUCUCCCUCCUCCUAGAAGUGCUGAAACUCCAACCAGAGAAGAAAUCAGUAGAGCUGAAAGGCUGGUCAGAUGAAGAGAGUGAAGUGAGGUGUUUCCUUCAGUGUCUGCCCUACAUCUCACAGCUGAGUUUCUGUCCAUGGUGGUCUGAUAUCUCAAAGCUGAUCAAGUUCCUGGUGGGUCUCCUGUCUCAAGCAGCAGAGUGGGAGGAGCAGUCAGGAGAGAAGACACUGAAGCUGGUGUCAUCAGUGUGUAUUUACAGAACCUUCCCUUUCUGUGACGGGGAUGAUUUUGAUGAGUCGUUUCAAUGUGAUUUCCUGCUGGAUCUGUAUUCACAUGUGAAGGACUAUGAGACUCAAACAGGCAGGAGUGUCCUUCCAACAUUACAGACAGUUUACCAGUCAGCUCCUGCAGUCUGGUCCAUAGACCUCUCAGAGAGAAAGGCCUCCCUCCUCCUAGAAGUGCUGAAACUCCAACCAGAGAAGAAACCAGUAGAGCUGAAAGGCUGGUCAGAUGAAGAGAGUGAAGUGAGGAGUUUCCUUCAGUGUCUGCCCUACAUCUCACAGCUGAGCUGUGAUUCUGACAGGUUCUUCCAGCGUGUGUGUGAAUCCAUCCCUGUGAGGUCCAGAGAGGAUGCCCAGCAGUUGGCCUCUCUCCUCCAGGCCUUGGGCUCCACCCUGUCACUGGGAGGACAGUUACCCAGGAAAACCUGCAGGUCUGUGGUGAGAGUGCUUGGCCUCUGUGCCUCCAGAGUGGACCUCACUCUCACCCCCAGCAAGAUCUCUCUGAAAGGAGCCUCACUUCUCUUCACACAUGUAUCACAGCUACACAAGCUCAGGCUGAAUGUGGGCAUGGCAGUGAGACUGGCCAGACUGGCUAGGAGGACAGGGAGAGGGGGUUCUCCACUGACUGUCCCAGAGCUCUCCCUGGUCCUAAAGAGCAGCCAGCCACCAGAGAAAGUGUUAUCCAGGGCUCUGAGUAGUGUGGCGUCCCUGCUGAGACUCUGGACGGUGCAGUGUCUGGACCUGACUGACUUCUGCAUCCAGGGUCACUCUCUCAUCACACUACUUUGUCACCAAGGCCCUCUCACUCUCAGACUGCACUCAGACACCCUGCAGCAGCUGGCUGUAGUUGUGUAUGAAGCUCAGGACAAGGACUUGACUCGGUGGUUCCUGGAGAAGGUUGGUGGAGACCUGACCUCCUGUAGGCUGGACUGGGAGGUGCUUCUCUCUCUGCUGCAGCAUUCAACCCACAACAUCACAGUGGACCUCAGGAAGAACAGGCUUCUAGAGAAGAACAUCUCAGAUCUUUUCCCCUUUCUGGGAAGGGUUAUAUUCAAGAGGCUCAGUUCCAGCUUUGUGAAGUCCACCAUCAGACAGAUCUAUGACAGUAGAGCCAGUGACUGUGUGUCCAGUUUGUUGAGGUCUUCAGACCAUUGGAUCAACCUGAACAGCAGAGAGCUGGACAGAGUGGACUGUACUGCGCUGUGUUUCACCCUGCAGCACAGCCACCAAGUCAAAGUCAACCUGCUGUGGACCUCCAUACCACCGGGGGAGAUAGAGAGCAUCCUGCCUCUUCUGGACAGAGUCUCCCAACUCAGUGUUGACAGGAUGCUGUUGCUGAGUUUCCUCCACUCCUGCGCUGCCUCUCAGAUCCUGCAGGGGGCACUAUCACCACCUUCAGCAAUAACAACAGCAGCAGCAGAGCUGCUCAGGGCUCUGCAGCACAGGUUGGACUUCUCCUGCUCCUCCUCUGUGGACCUGUCGGCUCACGACCAGGGGGAGGCGCUGUGUCUGACCACUGACCACUGUAGGGCCAUAAACUCUGUUCUGAAGCAGAGCCAGCACAGCACACAGCUGGUUCAGAACCCGACCCAGAACCAGUCCCGAAACCAGCCCCAGGUGCAGCUCAUCCUUAAAGACUGUGAGGUGGAGCACGGAGCACUGAGAGAGCUGCUUCCCAUCCUGCAUAUUGUCAAGCUGAGCCCCAGCAAAGCUCUGCUACUUCAGCUGGUGGACCAUGUGUGUGAGGGGAUUGAAGAGGGAGUGCUGAGGAACGCAGUAUCCCUGUGCAGAGCCCUGGAUGGGGAGCUGGACCUCAGUGAGACCAGGCUGAACCAAAAGGCCUGUGGAUCUCUGGCCCUGGUUCUGGAACACUCAGAGGGGCUGUCAGAACUGGACCUCAGCCACUGCCAACUCACAGACCGCCAUCUACAGCCCCUGCUCACACACCUGCACAAAGUUGAAGUCCUUGACCUGAGUCACAAUGACAUCACUGAUGCUCUGACCGACAGAAUUCUCCAACUGGUCUCCACCAACACUUCAAUCCGCACCGUACGGCUCUUCAGCAACAGAAUCAAGGACAGAAGUCCGUUCCUGACAGACAAGAGGUUUGACAUCUGGUGA